This 86-nucleotide transfer RNA is filed under the name Thelazia callipaeda (thelaziosis nematode). It matches the Rfam family "tRNA". Rfam says of the family: Transfer RNA (tRNA) molecules are approximately 80 nucleotides in length. Lineage: Eukaryota; Metazoa; Nematoda; Chromadorea; Rhabditida; Thelaziidae. The record is from Rfam by way of RNAcentral.
CCAGCCAUAGCUCAGUUGGUAGAGCGGAGGACUGUAGAGUGAGAGUAGAUAUCCUUAGGUCGCUGGUUCGAAUCCGGCUGGCUGGA